CGCAUUUACAACUUUGAAUUCAUUUUUAUUCGUUGUAUACAAUUUUUGUGGGUUUCAUACAGAAUAACAGUAUAAUUUAAUUUUCUAUAUUUUGAGUGGUAGGCUGGUAUAUUUCUGUAUUCAUCACAGCUAUUAAUCUUGCUUACUAGUACACAUAAUGACUUUGAAGUGUGUCCCAGAAUUUGAUAAAAAAAAUAAAUCAAAAAAAUUAAAACUUUCAAUCUUAAAGAAACCUAUACAUCUGUUGAAGAUUACAGAAAAUAUUUUCCAUUGUGAUAAUUUUUUAUUAUUUCUUUAAGAAAUACAUAUACACUAUCCACUUUCGUCCAUAUAUCACAGUGACAAUCCUUGUUCCCAUGGUUACUGUCUGUUUGUCUAUCAAACAUCAAGAAUCUGUUUCCAUUUUGUUGUUUGACUGGUCCUUUUUUGAAGUUUGCUUCUUUUGAGGGAUGUCGGUUUCAACUGUAAUAG
RNAcentral lists this long non-coding RNA (471 nucleotides) under Mytilus galloprovincialis (Mediterranean mussel). Lineage: Eukaryota; Metazoa; Mollusca; Bivalvia; Mytilida; Mytilidae. The record is from RNAcentral.